Molecule: long non-coding RNA, 31159 nt
Filed under: Setaria viridis
Lineage: Eukaryota; Viridiplantae; Streptophyta; Magnoliopsida; Poales; Poaceae
Description: long non-coding RNA (SVIR_LNC003900)
Source: RNAcentral
UUUUUUUUUCCUGUUUAGGGGAUGUGAUUUUGUCGGUUGCUCUAUGCAGUAUUUCCAUCCUGACCACAUGUCAUCGGCUGAGAAGAUGAAGCUGGAGCUGAAGAGGGUAAGGGACCAGUUCAAAAUGUCGGAGAAUGACUGUGGUUCUGCAAGAGUUCAAGGUAAUCUCUUGACCUUCCAUAACCGUAGAUCUAUGAGCUUCUGAUUCUAAGGGUCAAUCAGAUGACAAUGGUGUGAUUGCUGUUCUAUUAAAAGAAUCAGGUCUUACCUCGGAUAUCUAGCGCCAAAUAUUGGAACUUUGGAAGUGAAGUUUGUCCCUUUAUGCUGCUAACUGCCUAUAUUGUCGUGCUUAGAAGUUGUAACAUAUAUUUCUGUUUGCAUUCUAAGUCUAGAAAUUGUGAUAGUUUCUUGGUAGCUAGGUGGGGGCUGACUAACACGCUUCGACGAUAUGCAAGGCUUUGUAAGGCUUGCUUUUGUGAAAUAAAGGUACUCCCUCUGAUUCCAAAUGUAGGUUGUUUAGGACAUCGAUACGGUCUCCAAUAUGGUACUUUGACUGGUAGGUUUUGUAAAACUAAACUAAAAAUAGAGAAAGUUAUAUGCUAUGAAAGUAUUUUUCAUGAUGAAUCUAUUAACGUCAACCAUGUGUUGCCAAUCUAUGUAUUUUUCAUUUAUUGAACAGCCAAGUUAAAAAAUAAGUUUGACCAGCUAGAAUCCUAAAACGACCUACAUUUGGAAUUGGAAGGAGCAUUAUGAAAUCCGAUUGAUUUGAUUAAUUUCGUGUAACAACCAUAAGUAUUUUGGAUUUUUAAUAAUUUUUGCUGCUUUUCCUACUAUAAACUUCUAGCUCUGUUUAUUUUGUCAGUUGGCAGUGGUUAGUUUUUUUUCCAUUGACUAUUUUCUUUUGAAUAUAUUAAGGAGGUACAUAAUAGCCAGCAGAUCAGAAAUGAUGAUAAUCAAUUAAUCAUCCACAUUAUUUGUAAUUGUGUUUUGACCUGACGUGUAUUGUCCUUUCCUUUUGUUGUCCUUAGUGCCAAAGUUUUUUCCCCCUAGCCACUAUAAAACCCUACAAAGCUUCAUCUGUUCUACCUUUACAUGCGUAAUUAGUAUCAAGUUUUGCGCUGCGCCACCCCCCCCCCCCCCCCAACACACACACACAUCCAACUACCUAACAUUUUUGUAGGUUCUGUAUCUGGAUCCUAGCUGAUUGUAUUCUCCAAACUUUGAAAGCCUUUUGUGUCUGGAUCCCAGUUACCCGUCAUCCUACAAAAUCCAAAGUAUUUCAUGUUCCUGCUUUUGGUUGCCAAAUUUGAUUAUUAAGUUGAAUUAUUUGGUAGAACUGUAGGAGCAAGUGACAUUGGAUGAUUUAUUUUUUGGGAACUUUGAGGUAUCUAUGAUAAGUAAGGUUUUUGUGUUCCUGGGAGCACAUGCACACCAGAACCACACCAUUAAAUAUGCACCUGUUUUUUUUUAUUCACAAUAGAAAUCUCAACUGGUCCAGCACAUCACCUGGCUUUAAAAGUAUAUAUUACAGAAAUACUUUUUUUUGCUAUUGGACUAACAACCUUCAGUAUAACUAAUUUAUAAAUAUGAACGUCCAAUUGUAUCUUAUGCUUCAGACUAGCUUUAAUAUAUAUCUGUUUGAAUGUACUUCUGCUCAUGUUCUACUUCUAGUUAUGUAAAAUAUUCCUCUUUAAUUAGGAUCAUGUUGCAACUGAGCCUCAUCUAUGUUUUGCAGUAGCACAACUCACUACAAAAAUCAAACAUUUGUCAGCUACUCUACAUAAGAAGGUAAGUUUACAAACACAUCUAUAUUUUUUUAGUGGCAUACAUUCGUAGCUGGUGAUGAUUUUGUUGGACUUAACUGAUGAUGAAAGUAAUAUGUGGCUUUAAUGUGAUGCAGGACAAGCAUUCUAGAAAGGGACUGCAAGAGAUGGUCCAAAGGAGGAAGAAAUAUCUCAAGUACUUGCGUAGAACCGACUGGGAUUCGUACUGCCUAGUGUUGAAAAGCUUAGGGCUCCGUGAUGUGCCGGAAUACAAGGCCCCAGAUUACAAGAGCAAGAGCAACACCAAGUCCAAAACCAAGAAAAAGAGUAAAAGAAAGAUGAAGGCAUAAUCAUUUCCUCGGCUUUUAACAUCAUGACCAGAAUUGGUAGUUGAGUACGUGCCCAGGCCCUGUAUAUGUCAGCACCUUUUUCCGAUCUCAACUUGCUGCUCUUUCAUGAGAAAAGUUUGUUUUGAUUCGAUUGCCUUUCGCUCUUAUAUAUUGCAGCCCCCUUGUAGCAAUUGUUUUGGACCUUCUCCAAAUUGCUGUGAGUGCUUCCCUUAGUUCUGUUAUGUGAGCUCGAAAAACUAUUGUUUACAGUUGAGGAACAAGCUAAUAAUAACAAGAGUUGAUGCUGAGAUCGUCUCAUUAUUUUGAAUAUUCUUUAUCAUUGGCGCCCGGAAAGAAUGAUAGUCCAAGACAAUGUAUGCUCCUAUGCUGUAACUUGUAAGGCCAGUUUCUGCAAACAAAGAAUGCAGGCCAAGAAGGCAAGAAGCAAAGCUGAUUGACAGGAAUUGUACGAAGUGUUGAAGGGGCAGCUUUAACGUGAUGAGCUGGACAUCAUUUUAGAGAAGGUAGACCAAAAGGCAGAAUCUGAAUUCACGGAUAGAUGGACCAAAAGGAAGAGAUGUAUGAAAGGAGCAGCACCUCUGUUUGACUGAAUUCUCCAUCUUAGAAUUGCCCUCUAUUUUUGAGUUAGCUCGCCACUGUUUUCGAGCAUCUUUAUCAUCAUUCGAGUCCUACCUAAUUAGCAAGAACAGUAGUAGCAAGGAUAUGCAUGUUGUCUGAUCACAGUGAUCUGAUAAAACCUCCUUUAGUACUAAAACUAAAGCUUGAAUCUUGUAAUCUACAUCAUUCAUCCUCAAUGACACUUGAGAUAUAAAUUAUAGUAGUCAAGUAUAUUCUACUAAUGAUAUAAACUUGUGCUGUGAAUGGCAUAAAAAUUUUAUUGACUAGAGUAAGCAAAAAAUCAAACUGACUUCUUGCUCUUAGUAACAAAUUUUGUUCAGAUCUACUCGUCAUCAUCUUGAUAGUAUGGGGGUGUUUGGAUUCUCGGGCUAAACUUUAGUCCCUGUCACAUCGAAUGUUUAGAUACUAAUUAGGAGUAUUAAACAUAGACUAUUUACAAAAGCCAUUGCACAGAUGGAGGCUAAACGGCGAGACGAAUCUAUUAAGCCUAAUUAGUCCAUGAUUUGACAAUGUGCUGCUAUAGUAACCAUUUGCUAAUGAUGGAUUAAUUAGGCUUAAUAGCUUCGUCUCGCCGUUUAGCCUCCAUCUGUGUAAUUAGUUUUAUAAUUAACUCAUAUUUAAUCCUUCUAAUUAGCCUCCAAAUAUUCGAUGUGACACGGAUUAAACUUUAGCUUCAGGAUCCAAACACCCCCUGCAUGAAUAAACCAUAUAUGCUGUUCCUCAGCAGCUGCAGCCUGCAGUCAGCAUAUUUGAGAUGCCUCUCCGGGUGCAAGCAUUUAAUGCAAAUGAGAGUAUGAGACUGAAGGGAAUUUGCUAGUCGCUAUAAUAUACUACCUGGCUGUGAAGCUGCCAUAGCUUAAUCCUUUACCCUCUCAGCCCGCUAAGAGCAAGGCCAAUAGUAAAGACAAGGUCUUGUCUAUAGCCAAGCCAUGUAAUGAUGUAAGCAAUCUAAGAGCUAACCCAUACAACAACCAUGCAUGUUAUGCCUGUCUAUAAUUCCUCUUGUAGUCUUGUUCACUGCCACGCCAUGAUGAGGCAGUUCAAGCGGGGCUCGUGAUAUGGUCGAUUAGCUAAGCACCUGCAUCAGCGACCACCUUGCCUUCUUUUCCUUUUUCUUAGUCCUCCAGCUCAGUUAGCAGCGUGACAUUACGACUGUUAUUGUACUUGCUCUAAUGGUUGGUUGGGGUUAAGAAAAGUUGAUUAACAUGGAGGUUAUAUGGCUCCAUUUCCAGAUCUCAACUCUCAGUUUCGUGCUAAUGUUCGAUCGGCACAUGCUUCUGAUGCGUGUAUGUAACUACUAACUAGGGUCUGUUCAAAACUUCAUGUUGAGAUCCAAGCGAAGCUGCGCAUCCAACCGGCCGCCCGCAGCUCGCCGGUCGGUGCGCAUGGCGUCGGAGUGCAGCAGCCGUGAGCGGAAUAUGGAUACUUUACGUGCGCAUGUGACUGCAUGGGCUAUCCGAACCAUUUGUUUUUGAAUUAGAGGUGAAUCAACAGUUGGAUGUGUUUCGCCAUAAGAACACUACAGGUGAGUUACGCUCAGUUCACUAGAUCCGUCCCGUUUUCUAGUAGCGGAUGUAAGGCAGCAACACGGUCAUAGGAAAAACGAUGUGGUGCUUCGUUUUCUUUUCCCUAGAUAUGGAAUAUUUCUUGGAUAUUUGGCUGAUGUGCAAAUCUACACCAUUUGUAAUUACAAAUUUAUAACCUAAGAUAAUUAUUGAUACAUAUUUUUUUCUCUUUCGCCACGGCUAAAAAAGGUCUUGAGAGCGUGGUAGGUAAGGUGACUCAGUGAACCAAUAGACGGAGCUGGCAAACAAAAUCUCUCUAUGUCAUUUUUGGGAAUACUCUCUCAAUUUCAAGUUAUAAUUCGCUUUAUCCUUUAUCGUCCAAAGUCAGUUUUUUUAAUCAUGCAUUUAUUUGGCACUAUAUAGAUGACAUUUCUGUCAAUCUUGUGUAAAGCCGUCGCAAAUCUUCAAAACCUCAUUUUUAUAGCCCUGGUGAUGAGUUUCCAAUUAGUGUUCUGUGCGAACCAUCUUCAAGCACGCCUCCAACACCUUAAGUCCCGGUGAUGCCAACCUUUGAGCACCAAAGAUUAUGGUCAGUGGCAGAGGCAAGAUUCAAAAUUAGGGCGGGGCUUUCCUCCUCCUCCUCUAUCGUCACCUCUUCCUAUUUUUCUUCGUCCUUUUCCUCUCAUCUCCUCAUCUUCUUCCUUUGGUUCCAGUGGACGGGGCUAGGGGGGUGGAUCAUACUUGAACAUUGCGCUGUUGCCACUAUAAAUUCAGCGGAUAGUGUCUAAUGCCCUAUUUUAAGUGGCCGAUACUUGUUCUUGGGCAAAAACAAAAGGAAAGAAAGAAAAACUCCAAUCCAAACAUCCUUGAGUUUUGGCACUUCCUCUUCGAUUCCUUGGGCUUCGAAUGAACUAUCUAGUGCUGCUAGAUUUUACAAUUGCGCAUCACACCUACCCACAGACACGCUACAUCGAAGCUACUACCUGCUUUCGUCCCCCUAAUAGUACGGCCAAAAGAAGAAAAAAACAAAGAUCUAGAAGUAGAGUGUCCUUAUUCUUUUCGCACAUCUUUUGCACAAAUAUCGUUCGAUGAUGGGGUUGAUCACCAAAGCUCUAUGGCAUACGUAGCAUCCAUGAAAAGAUGAAGUACGACUACUCCUUAUCCGGUGCGUAGGUACUAAGAAGCAAGAGGAUGGAACAAGUGUUAUGUUAGUCAAAAAGCUAAUAAGGAAGUAAAUUUUGCUUUCAUUUCUUCCUCUCAGCAGCACAGCACCUACCAAAUUAAACAAAAGGAGCCAUACUUCUUUUUGAUGGAAUGGGCCAUAAUUCUGACAACUCACCCAGGAUGACAAGAGGAGCCAAAAUAUGUUGAGCUAUAGAUCACCCUUUAGGACGUAUUUUUAUUUUUGGAACUGAGAAAUCCGUCAAUGUCUCCUGCAGAUCUGGGAAUGACACGGGAGGUCAAACAGCAUGAGCUCAUGCCUUUUUUAGCACAAAAUCCUCCAAAAUUUAAAAAUCCUCUAACACCUCUUCUAAAUCCAGAACGAGUAGGAAGGCGGAGAAAUAGGAGGUCCGUAUAUCGAGCACUCUGUUUCUCCUCACCUUUGUCCACAAAUCGUAACCUAUACGUAUAGUGUGAAUGUGAGCACCUAAAGUCUUGAGUGAGUGGCAGCAGAAAUGGAGCGGAGGACCCAAGGGUAAAAAGGUAUUUUCGCAUCAGUCUCCUGCCGGUAUGGAGUAUGCCACUACAAAGAUGUGUUUCAUCUAAAAAUAAAAGUCGAGGGACUUGAUCGAUUUAAAACAUGAAGGACGGACUCGACCCUUCAAGCAAAGUUUAGGAACCAAAACACGUAUUUUGCCAAUCAUAUAAGAACAUUAAUAACCAUCGGUUUCUAGCGAACACGCCUCGGGGGCAAAAAAAAAAAAAGAGGAACUAAUAUAAUUGGCUUUGAGCUCCAAAAUUUGACAAGAAGAGAAGUUGCGCUUUAAUUUCCUACGAAUAAAAAUAAAAUUAUACAAAAUUUGACUUAUUCAUCGAGCUGUGCAGCAGAUCAUAUAUUGGUUGAAUCAAUCGAAUGCAUCAUGACUUGAUGAGACGAUCGAGGCAGCAGGUAGCUAGGCCUCCUAAUGCUGCUGCUGCUGGUGGUCCUGGUCUGCCCCCGGCAGCGCCUUGGCUCCGAUGUUGAAGAACUCGAUGAUGACCUCGAGCGGGAAUCCCUUGGUCUCGGGCACCUUGAUGUAGACGAAGAUGAGGGCGAGGCAGCAGACGACGGCGUAGAAGCCGAAGACCCCCGCGAGGCCGACGGAGCUGAGCAUGACGGGGAGCGAGUAGGUGACGGCGAUGUCGCCGAGCCAGAAGGUGAGCGAGCAGAUGGCGAUGCAGAGCCCCCUGACGCGCGUGGGGAAGAUCUCGGCGCAGAGGAUGUUGGGGAUGGGGCCGAACCCCAUGACGAAGCAGCAGAAGUAGACGAUGACGCUGCCCGUGGAGAGCGCGGCGUGCAGGGUGGUGGCCAUGGGCAGCACGUUGGCGACGAUGAGCACCAGCAGCGACGCGAUCAGCACCGGGAUGGUGGAGAGCAGCAGGCUCCGGCGCCCGGACACGUCCAUGAGGCGCAUGGCCAGGCCGAUGCUGGGGAGCAUCAGCAGCGUCGUAAGGCCGCUGAUGAGGAUGGAGGUGGAGUCGGCGCUCAGGCCCAGGCUCGCCAGGAGGACGCUCACGCCGGCCUGGUCAAGGAUCUGGGGCGUGUAGUACAGCACACCAUUGAUGCCCGAGAACUAUUCCAUUCCAUUGUUGGUUGCGUUGCAUGGCAUGGCAUUGCAUUGCGUCGUCGUACGUCCAAAACGAAACGAAACGUUCAUCAUUAGUUUGUGAUGAUGAUGAAACAAAACAGAACAGAACAAUUACCUGCUGCAAGAUCUGGAUCAUGACUCCGCAGAAGAGCGCUCGCCGCACGCCCGGCGCGAGGAGCUCGCGCCACCGAGGCCCCGCCGCGGCCGCCUUGCUGGCCACCGUCUCCGGCGGGUUCUCGAAGGCAGGGGUGGGGCUCUGCCCGAUCAUCACGUCCUUGGUGUAGAGCAUCGACCGGCUCACCAGCGCCGCCGCGUGCACGUACUCGCCGGGUCCCGACUCGCCGCCGCCGCCGUCCUCGUGCAGAUACAUCCUCUUCACGGCGCCGCGCUUCACGCCGUCGGGCCCCACCUUCUCCGUCCACUUCCACGCCAGCUGCCACCCGCCGCCGAUGCCCAUGGUGCUCGCCGUCUCCCCGCCGCCCGUCAUGCUGCUGUACCGCUGCAUUCCGUCCUGCUUCCUGCCCGUCUCCACGUCGGUGCUCUGCCUCGACAGCAGCGGCGCCUGCAGGGCUCCAGAACUACCACCGCCUGCCUCCUCGUCGGAGAGGUACUCCUCCUCCUCCUCCUCGUCGAGGUCGUCGUUGGGCGGCACGUUCUCCUCGUCCCAGUCACCGGGGCGCUCCGCCACGCUGAGCAUGCUGCCGAGGUUGGGGAAGAGCGUGCUGCCGCGCGCGCUGCUGCCGGGGCCGGCGCCGGCGUCGGGCAUCUUCUCGUGGACGCUCCCGAGCAGCGUGACGACGGGGUCCUUGAGCUGCUCGUACAUGCUGCCCUGGCGCGACGCGAGCUCGACGGCGCUGCCGAGCACGCUGCCCUGCUGCACCUGCUGCGCCACCCACGAUAGGCCCUGCUCGGGGCCGUACAGGGUCACCUGCUGCUGCUGCUCCCCGCCGCCGGUGGUCUCGUUCUCCGCCGUGUCCGCCGCCGACGCGGCCGGGCCGAGCACGUACUCCUCGAUGACGGUGUCGCCGCCGCUGCCGAGGCCCUCGACGAGGAGCGCCAUCUCGCCGGAGACGUCCUCGCGGCCGCGAAGCAUCUGGAGGAUGGCCCUGGCCUCCUUCAUGCGGCCCUUGGUGACGAGCCAGCGCGGCGACUCCGGAAGGUAGAGGACGGUGAGGGCGAGGUAGGCGAGGGAGGGCAGGGAGAGGACGCCGAGCAUGAAGCGCCAGCUGGGGCUGGGCGCCAGCGUCAUGUAGAAGAUCAUGCAGUAGGAGAAGAACAUGCCGAAGGAGCCCGUGAACUGCGGCAGCGUGUUGAGCAGGCCGCGGAUCUCCGGCGGCGCCGUCUCGGAGAUGUAGACGGGGACCAGCGUCACGGCCAGGCCGACGCCGAAGCCGUCGACCAGGCGCGCCAGGAGGAGGACCACCACGUUUGGGGACCACAUCAUGAUGAGGCCGCCGGCGAAGUAUAGAAGCGAGGAGGCGAUGAGCAUGGGGCGGCGGCCGACGUUGUCGGAGACGGGGCCGGAGAAGGUGGUGAUGAUGGUGGCGCCGAUGAGGGAGGUGGCGACGACGAGGCCCUCGAGGGCGGGCUGCGUCUCCAGGUGGAACUCGCGCUUGAUGUAGAGGACGGCGCCGGCGAUGGUGGCGUUGUCCCAACCCUGGAGCAUGUUGCCGAUGGCGGCCGCGAUGGCCACCAGCACCGCGCCCUGCAUGGCCGGCGGCGACCUCUGAAAGAAUAGAUUGGUUGGCUGGUUGGGACGAAAGAGCUAGCCAGGUAAAGAAGAUAUGAUGUGGUUAACAAAAUGAAGUGAAAAACGGAUUCGAUCGGAGCAGUUAGAGGAGGCUACGAUCCGAAAUUCUUGCUCCAUCAGGAUACGACCCCGUCCGUUCCCUCCGCGCUUUGCGCUCAGGUUGGUCUCUGCCUCUCCCCGUCGUCGUAUUGAGUUCGGACGUGACUCCCGGCUUCCUGCCAACGUGGCAGAACCGGCAGGGCCGUAGAUUGUGUGGCGCAAGUGAAGCGACACGCGCAGGGCGCCACCCAAAUUAGUUGUAUUAGUUAAUCUCCAUCUAUUUCCUUGCCUCCUUGAUGAAUGAUAUAGUUAGCAGACAUGCGGCCUUACCUUUCUUUUAACUCGUCCACAAAAUCUCAAAGCAUACUUGCUUUCCUUUUUUUUUAUUCUUCACGAAUAAACUCCAGUCUAUAAUCUCUACCUAAGGAGGAAGCAAUCCUUCGACCUUCUCCAGAUUUUUUGUCAAUCCGCACGCGGAUCGUGGACCGGUGGGACUUGCCGAUACCGAGCCGAAUCGAGCUCUUCGCGUGCAUGCCAAGGAGGCAAGGAGCGUCAUUCUACAUUUAUAAAAUCGAAUAUGUGACCUCACGUCCUAACGUAAUCAAAUCACCGUAUCACCGAAGUAGACGUCGACUAGUCAACAUCAAUCUACACCAUCAUCAUCUCUCCGUCUCGCCGGAUUGCUCGUCGCGCGACGGAGGACCACCUGUAGGGGCCAUCCCUCGACUCACUUGCACUCGUCAAACGCGCAACGCAAAGGUCCACGGAGGGCGGCCUACUCAUCUUCGAGAGCACCAUCAUCAUCUCAUCCGUCUUCUACCGUUCAGCGUGCCGAUCGGCGGGUGCUUAGCCCACCGCUGGGGAAAGCGCCUUCAGUACCGGUUAGUACCAGUUGUGCAACCGGUAUUACUUGUUCGGUACUAAAGGGGGUCUUUAGUACCGGGUCAAUAAUCGUUAUUAGUGAGUGACCUUUAAUACCGGUUGGAGCUCCCAACCGGUACUAAAGGGGUCACGGAGAACUCCUGGUUAACUAGCCAUUAGUUGGCCUGGCGUGACUACAGCCACGUGGUGAGGGGGCCUUUCGUUCUGGGUGCUCAAGGAUGCAGGAGAUGGGCGAAAAGCUGGUGCCACCACACCACACACAGUUACACUGUUACAGCAGUACACAGUAGUACGGAGUACGUUGCUCCAUUUAUUACUACUCGGUUUUUAGCGCGGAGGACCCUCCACUGUCUCACUAUGUCCUGUCUCCUGUGGCGGAGCAAUUGAAUGAAGUACUCCCGCCGUCUAGAAAAAAAAUCAUGUAAAUUUUUAAUUAAUAAUAUAUAUAUAUGGCUCUAAAUCAAUUUAUUAUAAAAAUACAUUCCGUAAUUAAUCUUAUUUGAUAUUAUAAAUAUUGAUAAUUUUUUAUUUAUAUAAAAUUAGUCAAACUUAAGAUACUAAGACGUGACACUGUGGGCUAGAAUUGCAUUCUUUAGACUGUCUCCAAUAGGUGAUCCAUAAGGGCACCCAAACUCAAAAUGGGUCUCCGACAGUACUGUAUCGGUCUCCAACAAUCCAUUUUGGGUGUCAGGAGAGACACUACCUAAAUCUGAGUAUCCUCUCUCCUGAAGACCUAUUUGCAGAAAGGGUUCUUAUUUGGGUCUUAUUGUUGGACAAGACCAAAAAUGAGUAUUGAACCCUUUACCUGUAGCGCUACUCAAACGUGGAAUAUGUCUUGUAUUUGGGGUGCCAUUGUUGAAGAUAGUCUUAGAGGGCUCAACCGUAAUACUAAUCCGGACGCUGCCUGCUGCUGAACGUGUAGGGGAUCAGAAGCAUCAGCUUGAGCAUUCACUUCGUGAGGAAAAGCCGCCUGUGUGCUGCUGUCCUACCAAUCUACAGUACCAUCCUAGCCCAAACUCCUGUAGUCCUGUCGAUACACAGGCCUAGUAGGAGGAGGGACAUAAAUUGCAAUCCGACAAUUCAGUUCCUCACCCUAGAUCUAGCAGCUCACGAGCCACGACACAGCAUCGCUGCAGGCAUAUUUUCAAUUAAAAAUCUGAAUUUGAUUUGAAUAGUCGCAACUAAUUUCACACAAAGAAAGGACGACAUAGGAAUGAAAACGCUCUCGUGCAUGACCAAGUCCAAACAUGAAAGGAAAUACAUACAUUCAAUAUCAAUCCUAAUCUAGUUAGAGGCUUGGACUAGGGUUGACCCCACCAUAAGAUCGAGCUAGCUUAUCGCCAUGCAUUAAUGAGAAAUUUUGGACAAAAAAAAAGAAUCACGUCUUUCAACCUGGCGUUCUGGUUGUGGAAUGUCACACUAUUUAUACGGUUGGUAAAUGUGAGUAAUUUAGAUUCAAAAUUAGAGUUACGUUACAUUAUCUUCCAUAUUGAGGAGUCUACUGAGCUUGAACAAGAGAAGGAGAUUGACAAGGUUGCUGAGGUUGAUCAGAAGGAGGAAAAAGGAGUGAAGUUGAAGAACACAUAAAUGGAAGCUGCUAUCAGUGCUUUGUUAAGAACUGUGAUAGGAUCUAAAUGGCUAGAGGGGGGUGAAUAGCAUAUAAAAUUUACUUCAAAGCACUAGAGCAACUUGAUUAGUAAAUAAGUUUCCUUCUUCAAUCCUGGAAAGUUUGUGCUAUCAAAUACUUAUUUUAUCACAUGUACCCAUCUUUUUUCUGUAAAAAAAUAAUAUAAAUAAACGCAAUAAAUCACUGGCAUGGAAUAACAUGAAGAUCAACUCUUGAGUUCAAGUGAAAUUGUGUAAACAAACCUUUAGAUCUUUAUUGCUCAACUUUCGGAUGGCCUUUAAAGCCAUCUCUUUAGUUCUGAAAUUAAUAAAAGCAUAUGUCUUGUUAUCCCCCUUUCCUCGCAUUCGCACCUGCAGAAAAAAAGGGACUCUGAAUUGCAGAAGAAAAGAAAUGCAAAAACUAAACCAGAGAAAGUAGGCACUACUCACUUCCACAACUUCUCCAACAGAUUCAAACAGUCGUUUGAGAUCUUUAGAAGAUACAUCAGAGGAGAGCCCCCCAACAUAAACUUCAGCUCCAUGAGGAAGAGAGCAUGCUUCUCUUUUUCAUUCUCAUCCUUCGGAUCAUCAUCCACCAUUUUACUGUCAUGAUUAGCAUCAACUUCACGCACACCUUCAAUUUUUUCAUCCUCCUCGUCCUCCUCCUCCUCAUCAUCAUCAUCAUUAUCAUCCUCUACCUCUUCAUACUCAACCUCCUCCUCAAUUUCUUCGUACUCAACUUCUUCCUCUUCCAUCUACCUCGUCAGGAUCAUCAAACUCCAAUUGGUCUUGUUUGACCAAUUCAAUUGAUUUGGUCGAAGCAGCAUUUCCUGUUCUCCUUGGCAUCUUCCAAAGCUCAAAGUUCCAAGGAAACUUUGGAAAGAGCACAGGAACCAAUAAUAUUGGGGAGCAAAGUGAUAAUGUAUGGAUAGAAAGAAAAAAAUAACAGAAACAGCUAGAACAGAAGGUAUGUAAUAAUCUCAAACUGGAUUCAGCCAUGGGUAUCCACAUGGAAAAUGGAACCUCAAAGCAAGUGACUGUUAAGGGAUAAAUGCAGAGAAAGAAGAAUGCUCAGAUGGACACAGCAUGGAAGGUUUUCAAGAAUAUGAUAGCACCGUCAACAAGAGUAUGAAAAAGAGGACAAUCAAAGAAGAUGCGCUGCUAGAGGUGCGAUGUGUAUCGCGAUUGGGGUGUCAUUGCAUUGCAGAUUUGCAGUUGGCGUGGCGUGACUACAGCCACGUGGUGAGGGGGCCUUUCGUUCUGGGUGCUCAAGGAUGCAGGAGAUGGGCGAAAAGUUGGUGCCACCACACCACACACAGUUAAAUUGUUACAGCAGUACACAGUAGUACGGAGUACGCUGCUCCAUUUAUUACUACUCGGUUUUUAGCGCGGAGGACCCUCCACUGUCUCACUAUGUCCUGUCUCCUGUGACGGAGCAAUUGAAUGAAGUACUCCCGCCAUCUAAAAAAAAUCAUGUAAAUUUUUAAUUAAUAAUAUAUAUAUGGCUCUAAAUCAAUUUAUUAUAAAAAUACAUUUCGUAAUUAAUCUUAUUUGAUAUUAUAAAUAUUGAUAAUUUUUUAUUUAAUUAGUCAAACUUAAGAUACUAAAAUGUGAGACUGUGUGCUAGAAUUGCAUUCUUUAGACUGUCUCCAAUAGGUGAUCCAUAAGGGCACCCAAACUCAAAAUGGGUCUCCGACAGUACUGUAUCGGUCUCCAACAAUCCAUUUUGGGUGUCAGGAGAGACACUACCUAAAUCUGAGUAUCCUCUCUCCUGAAGACCUAUUUGCAGAAAGGGUUCUUAUUUGGGUCUUAUUGUUGGACAAGACCAAAAAUGAGUAUUGAACCCUUUACCUGUAGCGCUACUCAAACGUGGAAUAUGUCUUGUAUUUGGGGUGGCAUUGUUGAAGAUAGUCUUAGAGGGCUCAACCGUAAUACUAAUCCGGACGCUGCCUGCUGCUGAACGUGCAGGGGAUCAGAAGCAUCAGCUUGAGCAUUCACUUCGUGAGGAAAAGCCGCCUGUGUGCUGCUGUCCUACCAAUCUACAGUACCAUCCUAACCCAAACUCCUGUAGUCCUGUCGAUACACAGGCCUAGUAGGAGGAGGGACAUAAAUUGCAAUCCGACAAUUCAGUUCCUCACCCUAGAUCUAGCAGCUCACGAGUCACGACACAGCAUCGCUGCAGGAAUAUUUUCAAUUAAAAAUCUGAAUUUGAUUUGAAUAGUCGCAACUAAUUUCACACAAAGAAAGGACGACAUAGGAAUGAAAACGCUCUCGUGCAUGACCAAGUCCAAACAUGAAAGGAAAUACGUACAUUCAAUAUCAAUCCUAAUCUAGUUAGAGGCUUGGACUAGGGUUGACCCCACCAUAAGAUCGAGCUAGCUUAUCGCCAUGCAUUAAAUGAGAAAUUUUUGACAAAAAAAAAGAAUCACGUCUUUCAACCUGGCGUUCUGGUUGUGGAAUGUCACACUAUUUAUACGGUUGGUAAAUGUGAGUAAUUUAGAUUCAAAAUUAGAGUUACGUUACAUUAUCUUCCAUAUUGAGGAGUCUACUGAGCUUGAACAAGAGAAGGAGAUUGACAAGGUUGCUGAGGUUGAUCAGAAGGAGGAAAAAGGAGUGAAGUUGAAGAACACAUAAAUGGAAGCUGCUAUCAGUGCUUUGUUAAGAACUGUGAUAGGAUCUAAAUGGCUAGAGGGGGGGUGAAUAGCAUAUAAAAUUUACUUCAAAGCACUAGAGCAACUUGAUUAGUAAAUAAGUUUCCUUCUUCAAUCCUGGAAAGUUUGUGCUAUCAAAUACUUAUUUUAUCACAUGUAUCCAUCUUUUUUCUGUAAAAAAAUAAUAUAAAUAAACGCAAUAAAUCACUGGCAUGGAAUAACAUGAAGAUCAACUCUUGAGUUCAAGUGAAAUUGUGUAAACAAACCUUUAGAUCUUUAUUGCUCAACUUUCGGAUGGCCUUUAAAGCCAUCUCUUUAGUUCUGAAAUUAAUAAAAGCAUAUGUCUUGUUAUCCCCCUUUCCUCGCAUUCGCACCUGCAGAAAAAAAGGGACUCUGAAUUGCAAAAGAAAAGAAAUGCAAAAACUAAACCAGAGAAAGUAGGCAGUACUCACUUCCACAACUUCUCCAACAGAUUCAAACAGUCGUUUGAGAUCUUCAGAAGAUACAUCAGAGGAGAGCCCCCCAACAUAAACUUCAGCUCCAUGAGGAAGAGAGCAUGCUUCUCUUUUUUAUUCUCAUCCUUCGGAUCAUCAUCCACCAUUUUACUUUCAUGAUUAGCAUCAACUUCACGCACACCUUCAAUUUUUUCAUCCUCCUCGUCCUCCUCCUCCUCAUCAUCAUCAUCAUUAUCAUCCUCUACCUCUUCAUACUCAACCUCCUCCUCAAUUUCUUCGUACUCAACUUCUUCCUCUUCCAUCUACCUCGUCAGGAUCAUCAAACUCCAAUUGGUCUUGUUUGACCAAUUCAAUUGAUUUGGUCGAAGCAGCAUUUCCUGUUCUCCUUGGCAUCUUCCAAAGCUCAAAGUUCCAAGGAAACUUGGAAAGAGCACAGGAACCAAUAAUAUUGGGGAGCAAAGUGAUAAUGUAUGGAUAGAAAGAAAAAAAUAACAGAAACAGCUAGAACAGAAGGUAUGUAAUAAUCUCAAACUGGAUUCAGCCAUGGGUAUCCACAUGGAAAAUGGAACCUCAAAGCAAGUGACUGUUAAGGGAUAAAUGCAGAGAUAGAAGAAUGCUCGGAUGGACACAGCAUGAAAGGUUUUCAAGAAUAUGAUAGCACCGUCAACAAGAGUAUGAAAAAGAGGAGCCAUCACUUUAGUUCUGAAAUUAAUAAAAGCAUAUGUCUUGUUAUCCCCCUUUCCUCGCAUUCGCACCUACAGAAAAAAAAAAGGGACUCUGAAUUGCAAAAGAAAAGAAAUGCAAAAACUAAACCAGAGAAAGUAGGCAGUACUCACUUUCACAACUUCUCCAACAGAUUCAAACAGUCGUUUGAGAUCUUCAGAAGAUACAUCAGAGGAGAGCCCCCCAACAUAAACUUCAGCUCCAUGAGGAAGAGAGCAUGCUUCUCUUUUUCAUUCUCAUCCUUCGGAUCAUCAUUCACCAUUUUACUGUCAUGAUUAGCAUCAACUUCACGCACACCUUCAAUUUUUUCAUCCUCCUCAUCCUCCUCCUCCUCAUCAUCAUCAUCAUUAUCAUCCUCUACCUCUUCAUACUCAACCUCCUCCUCAAUUUCUUCGUACUCAACUUCUUCCUCUUCCAUCUACCUCGUCAGGAUCAUCAAACUCCAAUUGGUCUUGUUUGACCAAUUCAAUUGAUUUGGUCGAAGCAGCAUUUCCUGUUCUCCUUGGCAUCUUCCAAAGCUCAAAGUUCCAAGGAAACUUGGAAAGAGCACAGGAACCAAUAAUAUUGGGGAGCAAAGUGAUAAUGUAUGGAUAGAAAGAAAAAAAUAACAGAAACAGCUAGAACAGAAGGUAUGUAAUAAUCUCAAACUGGAUUCAGCCAUGGGUAUCCACAUGGAAAAUGGAACCUCAAAGCAAGUGACUGUUAAGGGAUAAAUGCAGAGAUAGAAGAAUGCUCGGAUGGACACAGCAUGAAAGGUUUUCAAGAAUAUGAUAGCACCGUCAACAAGAGUAUGAAAAAGAGGAGCCAUCACUUUAGUUCUGAAAUUAAUAAAAGCAUAUGUCUUGUUAUCCCCCUUUUCCUCGCAUUCGCACCUACAGAAAAAAAAAAGGGACUCUGAAUUGCAAAAGAAAAGAAAUGCAAAAACUAAACCAGAGAAAGUAGGCAGUACUCACUUCCACAACUUCUCCAACAGAUUCAAACAGUCGUUUGAGAUCUUCAGAAGAUACAUCAGAGGAGAGCCCCCCAACAUAAACUUCAGCUCCAUGAGGAAGAGAGCAUGCUUCUCUUUUUUAUUCUCAUCCUUCGGAUCAUCAUCCACCAUUUUACUUUCAUGAUUAGCAUCAACUUCACGCACACCUUCAAUUUUUUCAUCCUCCUCGUCCUCCUCCUCAUCAUCAUCAUCAUCAUUAUCAUCCUCUACCUCUUCAUACUCAACCUCCUCCUCAAUUUCUUCAUACUCAACUUCUUCCUCUUCCAUCUACCUCGUCAGGAUCAUCUAACUCCAAUUGGUCUUGUUUGACCAAUUCAAUUGAUUUGGUCGAAGUAGCAUUUCCUGUUCUCCUUGGCAUCUUGCAAAGCUCAAAGUUCCAAGGAAACUAUUGAAAGAGCACAGGAACCAAUAAUAUUGGGGAGCAAAGUGAUAAUGUAUGGAUAGAAAGAAAAAAAUAACAGAAACAGCUAGAACAGAAGGUAUGUAAUAAUCUCAAACUGGAUUCAGCCAUGGGUAUCCACAUGGAAAAUGGAACCUCAAAGCAAGUGACUGUUAAGGGAUAAAUGCAGAGAUAGAAGAAUGCUCGGAUGGACACAGCAUGAAAGGUUUUCAAGAAUAUGAUAGCACCGUCAACAAGAGUAUGAAAAAGAGGAGCCAUCACUUUAGUUCUGAAAUUAAUAAAAGCAUAUGUCUUGUUAUCCCCCUUUCCUCGCAUUCGCACCUACAGAAAAAAAAGGGACUCUGAAUUGCAAAAGAAAAGAAAUGCAAAAACUAAACCAGAGAAAGUAGGCAGUACUCACUUCCACAACUUCUCCAACAGAUUCAAACAGUCGUUUGAGAUCUUCAGAAGAUACAUCAGAGGAGAGCCCCCCAACAUAAACUUCAGCUCCAUGAGGAAGAGAGCAUGCUUCUCUUUUUUAUUCUCAUCCUUCGGAUCAUCAUCCACCAUUUUACUUUCAUGAUUAGCAUCAACUUCACGCACACCUUCAAUUUUUUCAUCCUCCUUGUCCUCCUCCUCCUCAUCAUCAUCAUCAUUAUCAUCCUCUACCUCUUCAUACUCAACCUCCUCCUCAAUUUCUUCAUACUCAACUUCUUCCUCUUCCAUCUACCUCGUCAGGAUCAUCUAACUCCAAUUGGUCUUGUUUGACCAAUUCAAUUGAUUUGGUCGAAGUAGCAUUUCCUGUUCUCCUUGGCAUCUUGCAAAGCUCAAAGUUCCAAGGAAACUAUUGAAAGAGCACAGGAACCAAUAAUAUUGGGGAGCAAAGUGAUAAUGUAUGGAUAGAAAGAAAAAAAUAACAGAAACAGCUAGAACAGAAGGUAUGUAAUAAUCUCAAACUGGAUUCAGCCAUGGGUAUCCACAUGGAAAAUGGAACCUCAAAGCAAGUGACUGUUAAGGGAUAAAUGCAGAGAAAGAAGAAUGCUUAGAUGGACACAGCAUGGAAGGUUUUCAAGAAUAUGAUAGCACCGUCAACAAGAGUAUGAAAAAGAGGACAAUCAAAGAAGAUGCGCUGCUAGAGGUGCGAUGUGUAUCGCGAUUGGGGUGUCAUUGCAUUGCAGAUUUGCAGUUGGCGUGGCGUGACUACAGCCACGUGGUGAGGGGGCCUUUCGUUCUGGGUGCUCAAGGAUGCAGGAGAUGGGCGAAAAGUUGGUGCCACCACACCACACACAGUUAAAUUGUUACAGCAGUACACAGUAGUACGGAGUACGCUGCUCCAUUUAUUACUACUCGGUUUUUAGCGCGGAGGACCCUCCACUGUCUCACUAUGUCCUGUCUCCUGUGACGGAGCAAUUGAAUGAAGUACUCCCGCCGUCUAAAAAAAAUCAUGUAAAUUUUUAAUUAAUAAUAUAUAUAUGGCUCUAAAUCAAUUUAUUAUAAAAAUACAUUUCGUAAUUAAUCUUAUUUGAUAUUAUAAAUAUUGAUAAUUUUUUAUUUAAUUAGUCAAACUUAAGAUACUAAAAUGUGAGACUGUGUGCUAGAAUUGCAUUCUUUAGACUGUCUCCAAUAGGUGAUCCAUAAGGGCACCCAAACUUAAAAUGGGUCUCCGACAGUACUGUAUCGGUCUCCAACAAUCCAUUUUGGGUGUCAGGAGAGACACUACCUAAAUCUGAGUAUCCUCUCUCCUGAAGACCUAUUUGCAGAAAGGGUUCUUAUUUGGGUCUUAUUGUUGGACAAGACCAAAAAUGAGUAUUGAACCCUUUACCUGUAGCGCUACCCAAACGUGGAAUAUGUCUUGUAUUUGGGGUGCCAUUGUUGAAGAUAGUCUUAGAGGGCUCACCGUAACUAAUCCGGACGCCGCCUGCUGCUGAACGUGCAGGGGAUCAGAAGCAUCAGCUGGAGCAUUCACUUCGUGAGGAAAAGCCGCCUGUGUGCUGCUGUCCUACCAAUCUACAGUACCAUCCUAGCCCAAACUCCUAUAGUCCUGUCGAUACACAGACCUAAGAAAUGAUUUUUUUUUUCCAAAUGUUGAUGCCUAUUUUAAAAAUUGUUGAAUCUAAUCUUACAAGUUGUUGAAGUAUGAUAUAAAAAAUGUUGAAUGGUGUAUUUUUUUAACAAAAUGUUGAGCUAUGUUUUAGGAAAUGUCGAAUCUACUGUUUUCAUAUGUUGGUCUAACUUUUAGGAAAUGUUGGAUCUGUUCGAUUGAAAUGCUGGUUUAAGCAUCUAAUUUGGGUUUAAUGGGCUUUUAAAGCCAUGAAGCUUAACUAGCUACCACAAGCUACAUAGGAGCCCCCACCACCCAAUGCAGCAUUUUGGUCGACGUGGGAGGAACGACAAAUAUUAGAUGUGGUUAAGCUAUUGAGAAUUGGCGCAAUGGGCGCGGUGCGGAAAUAUGACAUUUUUUUUUGAACUGUCACCUGUGGGGAUUUGAAUCCCCACCUGAAUAUAUAUUGAUAUAUCGUGGCAUAAUCACAUCAACAACUUGAGUCUUCUUGGCAGGUGCCUCUUUGCAGCCAAACUAGCUCUAUCUAAAUUGUAGGUCGCAUGAUGCGGUUUGCAAGCUCAUACCGAUUACCGAAGAUGCUGGGCUAAGGCCCAUUGUGUUGUUGCCGUCGUUUCUGUACAUGUGGAUGUGGUACGUAGACUUUUCCGUCGAGGACGAAGCGGCCCGGAGCAACUCUGUGCACGAUGCGCCCCCUUAUCAGCCCGAAGUAGUAGGCAUCGUCGUUCCGGUCAAACAGAGUGAAGUUGCAGAAAAAUAACUUGAAAUGAGUACGAGACAGAAGAAAUAAUUAAUACAAGAAGAUGUCAUUUUCUGCCAACUUAAAAGCUUGCCUACUGUAGAUAUGCGUUUCUCAAAAUUUCGUUGGUGUCUGAUCGUUUUUUUUGGGCUUAUUUCGGCUGAUUUCGGCUGAUUCAAUAGUGGUAUGUGAGAGAGAAUAAGCUGAAACAAGCUGAAACAAGCUGAGACUAGACAAGCAGAACAGGGUAUCAUCUUGAUGUCUUAAACGAAUACUUACCAAGUGGGAUGCGUGAAAACUGAAAAGGAAAGCAUAAUGUGCAAGUUGAUUGUCUUAAACAGAUGGUACUAGUUGAGUUCUUGAAACUCGCAGAGGGCAUCAGGCCAUGCCUGCCGAGUAAAAAAAACACUUUGUUAAAAGUUGAAAGUGUACUUGUUGGACAUGUAGAGUAUUAUUAGUAGUUCAACUAUGGCCAUAUAUCACAAAAAAGUUGUGUCAUGCAUUGUUCUCACACAAAAAUUGUUUGCUCAACAGAUGGAAAAUGCAGGCAUAAUGCUGAAGAGGGAUGGGAUUCAGAGUGGUUUUGGUGAUCUUACGACAGAUUGAGCGGAUGGUAUCUUUGCCAAGGACGACGACAUCAGCCAAAUUCCCUGCAGAGCAAAACACGCAUGAAAAUCAAGCUUGGCACGAGAAGGGAACGAAAGAUCGCAACAACGGGCCGGGGCACAUCACAGGAAUAAAGAACACUCCAAGGUACCACCUUUGGAGUCGGGGAAGACAACCGACAUGACUCUGGCGGUUAUCAGUGACCUUGACGGAGAAAUCCCCCUUCUUGAGCUCGUACACGCCGACCAUCUUCCUCGCGCGCCGGCGCUGGUGGCCAGCGCGGAGGCCGCCACGAGGCAUAGCAGUGCGAGUAGCACCUCACCUCGCGCCAUCGACGUACGGCCAGCAAUGUCUAGCAGAAGCAGAGCUGCAUCGGAUCGAGCAAGUGAUCGAUGAGCAGUACAGCCAAGGAGAAGGCCAGAGGUGGGCAGGCAUGUAGCUGCCGAGAUAUAUCUGCAAGAGAUGGGCACCCAUCACCUAACAUCAGUUGUGUGGGGCGAUGGCGCUGGAGAUGUAUUGGACGGGCUUGAAGCGGCUGUUCUGUUCCUCCUCCGGAUGUGUUAGUAGGAGCUAGUCAAAUGGUUGUGGCUGUGCUGGGCCAUCACGCACGAACACGGACGCUGCCGGUUUUGUGUAUGAUUCCCAUUCCCACGAUUAGCCUCGCCCGAUAGCUCCCCCUCCCCGUGCCCAUGAGCCCAUCCGAUCCGAUCCAUCAUCGUCUUUGUCCUGUGAGCCUGUGACUGUCAGCCGCGGUUAGAACCGUGGCCUGACUGACAUGUCACCGUCACCAUGAGCGUCGUGGCCGCACCUGCCACCGAGGCCAGCGGGCACACGGUGGACUUCUUUCUUUUAUGAGUUUUUUGUCUCUAGAACACCACGAAAGCGUGAUUUUGUGCCAAACACACUACAUUGUUUAUUUUAGGCUGCUGGACAUUGCAAACAUGAGGCUUUUGUACGCUGCACAUUACCACUGUUAAAAAAUGCUUACAUGGUCUGGGUACGUACAUAGUGCCACAUGAAAGACCAAAAUGACCUCACUUAUAAUGGAGAUAGAUUCUGGGCGCCAGCCCCAUUCCAGGAACAUUUCACAUGUUGGGUACAACAUCAAAUGACAGUAUUUAUGCACAACAUCAAAUAGACAAUAUGAAACAAAGUUUAAUUAAACCGGCAUAGCUUAAUAAGUGCAUGGCCUCACACGUCAGAGCACAACUUAAUAACUUGUCACAAACUAAAGUCUUCUCUAUGUGAGCAGCAUCUCAUAGAGGUGCAAAAAACCUUAACAUGUCCCAAAUUUACAUCAAUUUGGCAUGUCAAAAUGCUUCUUCCAGUUUUCUUGUACACGCAUACACAAAUAUCAGAUCUGCAUGAGAUGGUCUAGUGCCAUUAUACCAUGCACCUCGGCUUCCUCUAUUGCAAGUUUCCUAGCACGGCUGCAAAAAAUAGCAUGGAUUAGGAAAAAAUAUUAGUUUGAAUCUCAUCAAGUUUGGUUGAAGCUCAUCAAGUUAAAUGAAAAAAAUACUUACUGCCUAGUCAGUGCUCCAGGACUACAGUUAAUCUCAUCAAGUUUCCUAGCUCGGCUAUGAAAGAUGGCAAUAAGUAAGGAGAAUUUUAUUUUCAAUUUCAUCAACUUUGGUUGCUGAUAUUAGUUAAAUGAAAAAUAAUUACCUCCUAGUCAGUGCGCCAGGACUACAGUUAAGGUCAAAUGGGCUUGAUGGUCCCCGCAGCAGACUAAGUGAUGUACUGGGGCUAGUUGCUGCUGCUACUUCUGUGAUGUCUUCCCUCGUAGUCCUCUUUCCCUUAGGUGUACUUGUAUUGGUGGCUACCUCCUCUGUUAUGAAUUCAUUUUGCUUCUUGGCUCUCUUUCUCUUAGGUUUUGGUGGUGCUGGUGGUGGAGCAUCUGAGUCGUACACAAUCUCAUUGCAAGUUUUCUGAGUGUGCCCAAAUUGACCACAUCUCUUGCAUUUCUUCCUAUUCUUGUUGCCUCCUUCCUCAGCUCCUUUCACUCUCCUUGUCCUUGGUCUACCUACUGCCCUCUUGAGUAUUGGAGGCCAUAGCUUGAACCCUAUGUUCACUUGAGGCCAUAGUGUCUUGUCUAGUAUAGGUUCAAUCCAACCUUCAUAUGCAGCUUUGAACCUAGAUAUAGAGUAACAAUUGUCAACAUAAUCCUCCAACUCUAGACCCCUGUAAGAGCAUAUCAAAUUGAUUGCAUGGGUGCAUGGUAGACCAGUGAUUUGCCAUUUAUUGCAAGUACAUGUUCUUUUUUCUAGGUUCACAGCAUGUCUCCAAGGAGUCAAGUCCUUGUAAACACCACUUAUCUCUGCUGUGUGUCCGACACCUUUGUGGAUUGAAUACCCAACCAAUCCUCUACUUUUUGCAUUGAGGUCCUUCACAAUGUGUGGAAGCACUUUACUCUUGAGCUUCAUGGCAAGUCUUCUCCUUUGAAAUAGCUUAUCCAUGAUUUUUUGUCUAAUUCUAUCCAUUAGAUCUAUCACAGGAAGCGACUUCUCAUGUUUAAUCCAAUUGUUGAAGACUUCAGCAAUGUUAUUGGUCACAUAAUCACACUUGCUGGCUGUAGAGAAGUAACAUCUUGCCCACAAGUGCUUGUGAUUAUCCUCAAUCCACUUCAAUGCUUUUGGCGAUGAUUUCUUCAUGAUAUUGUAGUGCAUGUCAAACAAAUAUUUCAUGUAAACUCUUGCUGCUGGCCACAGAUUCUUCUCAAAGACUUUACCAUGAAAUCUCUUUUUGAAAUUUUUGUACAAAUGUCUCAUGCAUUCCCUGUGCUCUACUCCAUUGGUGAAGACAUUGGUCACCGCUAUGUUCCCAGCAUCAGUUGAGAUAACAAGUCCAGGUGGGGAUCCAACUGCCAAUGCUAGGUUACCCAUGAACCAUCCCCAAUUUUCCUUGGUCUCUGAUCCAAAUACUCCAUAUGCCACAGGGAACAUCCAGUUAUGUCCAUCAAUACCUAUGGCAGAAGCUAGUUGCCCCUUCCACCUUCCAGUAAGAGCCGUGGAGUCAAUGCCCAAGUAUGGUCUACAUCCAUUUUUGAAUCCGUCUAUACAUGGCUUCAAAGCAACAAACAUCUUGCUAAAUCUGAUCUUGGACCCAACCUUUUCAUAAUCUAUCUUAACUAUACUUCCAGGAGACUUCCUUUCUAUCUCUUCCUUGAAUGCAAAAGCGUGUUCAAAACUAUCCUCCCACUUGCCCAAAAUCUCAUCAAUAGCUAGCUCCUUGCCAUUGUAGACAAUCCAGUAUGAUAAUUGGAUCAAGUACUUCUCUUCCAGCUUCUUCUUUAAAGCAGCAGGGCCAAUUGUUGGGUCUUCCCUGAGCCAUUGAACUACCCUAUCCCUAACCCAAAAUUGGUCAACCAUACAAUUGCUCUCCAGUUUGCUUGUGCUUUUACAGUAGUGCUUGUUAGGUAUCUUCUUAAUCUAAAAAAACAAUGACAUAAUUUAAAGGAGUUGGCUAUAAAUUAAGAAACAGAAAAUUAAGGAACAAAAUUAAGAAACAUAAAUAAAGGAACACAGAAAUAGGUACCAUCCAUGUCCUUCCAUCUUGCAGUUGUGAUGCAUGUAUUCUCCACUUGCACUUUUUAGCCUUACAAUAUCCUCUGUACCUCUUGGCUUCACUAUAAGGAGCUGCAAUUUCAAUCUCAUUUAGAAUAGCAUAUUGCCUAAUUGCUCUUUUAAAGGUUUGUCCAUCCUCAAAUGUCACACCAACUUCAAUCUUUGGAUUUUCUAAGUCAGUUACAUGGUCAACAAUCUCACAGCCUUGUUCACCAUCAACAGCACAAUCAUCGUUGUCUUCAUCAGAAUCAGGAAUGCAAUCAAAUUCAUUUUCAUCAUCAGAAAUCAAGUCAACAUGAAAGACCUUCUCAUCAUUUACACCAACAUACUCAAUUUCAUCGUUUUCGCCCCAAGGAUCAUCAUAUGUAGGGUUUUCCUUAGUCCCAGAUUUAAUAACAGGAUCAGAGAGAUCUGCCAGGGUGGUACAUGCGCUCUGUUGUGUGGGUUGUGCAUGCAAAUCUGCUUCUACACAAGAAACAUAAUGUAUGCUCUGUUCUAUGGGUGGCUGAUGAAUGCCGAGCCCGAGCCUACAAGCACAGAUGUAAUCAACUCCUAUAAGGAUAUUGCUAAAGCCCAAAUAUAUUUCUAACGAACCCUAGGCCCCCAAAUCUCAAUGAACCCAUGCCAUGUUCUGAACCCUAGAUCCUCAAAUCACUUGGGGAAAAUUUGAAUCUUACCCGUCAGGAACCCAGGACAGGUCUGACACCUUCUGUGGGGAGUCAUCGCUGCAUAGUCGCUCCACUCCAAGACCGGGGAAUGAGGACCAAGUCGCAACCAUCAAGCCUGGUCUCUUAGUGCAGCUCGCGGAUGGGGAGAACUUUGCCGGAGCUAAGUUGCAUCAGUGGCAGGAGGCAUGGUGUGUGUGAUUGGUGGCGGUUGGUGAAGAGUCGUCGGAGAUUAUGGCAAGUCAAGAAAAAUUGCAGAGGCGGCGGCGAGAUUUUUUACGACUACAGGAUGGUGCCGUGAAUAAUCUGGAUAGGAUGUGGCUGCCAGCCGAUGUGCAGGUGGUGUAUCUGAAGGGGGCAUUUUGGUCUUCCUAGGCUACGCCAUCCACCUUUCCGGCCAGGAAAUCAUUUUUUAAUGAAGCCGAUGUGUAGUAGACAAAUUGAUGCCUUUUGCAGUGUUCAGGAGCCUAAAACGGCAAAUUGAGUGUGCUUGGCACAAAACCACGUUUUAGCAGUGUCCACCGGACAAAAAACUCUUCUUUUAUGGGCUAGGAUGUGGCCCGUGGACGCUAGGCCCAGUUACCAAGAUCAUCGGGCCAAGAAAGGAGGAGAUUUUUUUUUGAAACGGUCGGCAGGAGCUCUACCGAACUUAUAUUGAUAUGGAAGGGAAAAGGCACUGUACAAAACAAUCACAAAAAAAGGCUCAAAAAAAUAAACUAAGCCUCAGACAAGGGAGAUAGGAAUGAUCUCACAAAGUUUUUUUUGGCUCCUGCUACACACCAGAGUCUUGGCUCUUCCUUUAUCUUGCCAAUAAGUGCUUCCGUUGUGUUACGGCGGUGAUAAAAAAUUCUCGCAUUUCUCUCUUUUCAGAUCUCCCACGCUACUAAGGGCAAGUACAUUGGUGUCGUCUAAUAGGCGGUCUCAUGCAUUGACACGUAAUCCUGAGACGAUUCAACAGGUAACCUAUACAAUGGGUUGUCCUAUAAGUUGUCUGGUAGUUGUAUAUAAUUCCUUAAUUUGUGCAUAAGAAAAAUAAAAUAUUAUAAGUUGCAUGGCAACAAUAACUCAUACAAUGGUUGUUAAGUUGUCUCGUAGUCCUACAAUUUAGCUCAUGAGGUGGUUAUUUCGUGAAGCAACGAUCUCUUUCUCUUUCCUCGCUCUCUCUCAUCCACAUCAUCAAAAAUCCUACGUGGCACUGCAUGAGACGACCUACGAGACCGCUGACGUGUAGCAACGUACUCUCUAAGGGCCAGUAUCAAUGCUCAGUUUUGCAAUGGCUCCGUUCCCGCCCUCCCGCACACCGUCGCGCAACUGUGUGAUUUCGGCAUGGCAGCGUCAGAAGCGCUCACAGCCGCACCCUACCGUCCGCGUGUUGCCGAAAGGGCAGGUGGGCGUCGUGGCCUGCCUAGCAGGUCCGAUUCUGGCAUGUAUUCUAAGCUACACGGUGUGUUGAUCUAAUGUUCUGGUGUGAUUUGCUUGCUCGGUGUUGGAGGUGUCAGUGCUACUACUGCAUGCACUUUAGUUGUUCGAUGAAAUACCUGUUCAGAUGAUUGCUACAUUUGCAAUUGGGCUGGGAUGCGUUAGGCCUUCUUUGAGCCAAAUAAUUAAAUCAAGUUUAAUUAGGUGAUGUGACCUUCUUUGAACAAACAAGUUGUGUGAUUUACUUUGUUGUACGAACCAUGCGGUUCAAGCUGAUUGCUACUUUUGUUGUUCGAAUUUUAACAGUUCAAAUAACAACUCUUCAGAGAUACAUAGACUAUAACAAUGUAACCGUUGAAAAUAUAGAGAUGAAUUUUAUGGGGAUAGCUAAAUAGAGAUAUAGUGUCUGAUUAAGUGAGAAUGUUGGACAUAGUCUAAGAGGGGCAAAGAUGGAGAACCAGAUACGCGUAGAAUUCUAGUAUUAAGUAUUUUGACACCUUAUUCUUUGACUCGUGGGCAUCGAAUAAACAAAUAAACGAUACGGAGUGAGUACAAAUCACGUUGGAUCAUCCUUUGGCUAAGGAUGCUUUGCUUGUAAAAAAAAUCAAUAGAUAAUAUCCUUUCGCUUGGGUCCUUUUGAGAAGUUAGGAAAAUCAUCGGCGUGUGGCAUUAGCAGCGUCAAUUUUCAAAGAAAAGACAAGGGCUAAGAAACUCGGUGGGCUUACGGUUUUCUAGAACAUUCCUACUCACUUGGAAAGAUUGCUAGAUAAUGUUUGCAUAACAUUUUGUUUCUAACAAUAUUGGUCAACCACGAGUGUUUUUUUUUUGCAGAUGGCUUCUCCGAAACAAUCCGAGGACCACGCUCCAAAUAUAGAUCUAAGUAUAACCACAAGCACAAAUAGUGGCAAUAUUAGAAAUGGCAUAGGGUCAAUGACAUCGAGCGACCAGCCACUACUCAUUGACCCUAAAGAACGUAAGAGGCAACGAGAAAGAAAUAGGUAUGUGCGAAUGUCUCACGAGCAAAAGGAUGAAUUACUAAAAAACACCAUGAAGCUCAUCAGAAAAAGAAGGUUAUAGCCAACCUUAUUGAUGUUGAACACUAGUCAGAUGGGAUUAGAGCAGUUUGUGCAAGAAAAACUACAAUCCACGUCCGAGCAAAUUGUUGCAAGACGUGCAAAUGCUAGGGCACGUUAUGCAAAUUUAAAACCCGAGCAGAGGCAGGCGAUACGUGAUCGUCAGAAGUUUCUCUAUACAAAAAUGACAUCUAAGAAAAAACAUGCAAAGAGAAAACCGUGAAAAAGUACGACGUGAGAUGCGACACAACACUCCGAGUAAGAAUUCCAUUGCCAUGAAGAAUCCUUUGUAUAACUCAUCGGAUUCAGAUUGAAAUGUAUUUAUAGAUAAUAUGUUCAUUUUCAACAAUAUGAAGUAUGGUAUGAGAUUGGGGACACGUAUAUUUACCCAAGAUAUGAACUUAUGAUUCUACGGUGUACGAGGAUCCUAUAUUUCUCAAAGAAAAAUAAUAUUACCUAGGAUCAUGAUCGUGCCAAAAUUGGCUUCUGUUUUUUCUUUGAUCAUAUUCAGCUAAUAUUAAUAAACAUAGUUUGUGCACAAAUUUGAAGCCUGUUUUUGAUAAUAACUGGCAUGGAUUAUAAAUCAAGUCAUCCUUGUGUGUGUUUGGUCAUGUUUGUUAAGCAAGGGGUAGGUAAGGAAUUUUUUGCUACCCGUUGCAACGUACAGGCAUAUUUGCUAGUCUAUUAUCAUUUUCUAAAAUCUAGCCAAAUAAAAUAGUCUUGUUCAUUUAUUUUUCUUUCAAUAAUCCUCCUUGCAAUUCUGCUGCAACUUAUGAGUUUUCCUCCCCAUCCCUCCCAUAUGUUACUGUUCCGCUUAUUAGGAUAACAAAACACUCAACCAUAGUGCAUUAUAUAAUCAAAUCAAAAUACAUUUUGGUUACUUAUAUUUUCUAAAUGUAUGGCUCCACUUUAUGUUUCGCACCAGGGCCUCCGAAUCAUAAGUACGUCCUGAUUGUCUGCCACCCAAAUCAAUCCGUGAGAAGCCAUGAAUCGAUUAUAGAUUUCAAAAAAAAAGAAGCCAUGAAUCAUUUAUGAUGCUAUCAUAUCAUACCCGGUUCGUAAGACAAACAUGCACGAGGGAUUAAGUAGACUAACCUCAAUAUAUACUUUACCCGACUAGACCCAAGGAGAUUCGAUAUAAACUAAAAUUAAAUGCAUGCAUCAAUGCAAAGAAAUUGGUUUGUUAUGACAUGAGAAAAAACAAAGCUAGAAAGAGUAAUAUGUUUGAAAGAAUACACCUAUACGAGUCCGACUGAAAAACAUUACAAUCUAUAAGACUUAGGUGAUCUUAGCCCGCUUAUAAAGAGACUAGGAAAUACAAUGUAUAUGCUCCACCCGCACACUAGGCUGGUACCAGUUAUAACUUUGAGUGGAACUUAUUCUUACACAACUUACAAUUUAAGGUGUAUUCCAUUUGUUUAAAUUGUGGAUUAGCGUAACUUGAAAGCUCUAGAUGAGAGAGUAGUGUGACGCGGCCACCCAACACAUUUGCCAGGUACUCACAGCCCAUAUGGAUAGCCCACCAAGGCCCAUGUCGUGCCCAGCACAUAUGGAAUUGUAAAAUAGUUUAACGAAUGUCUGACCGUUGUAAUAAAGAUUUAGUACCGAUGGCUCAUGUUUUUCAAUUCUAAUUCUAUUGUUUUUAAUUCCGAAAUUGGUUGUUUAUUAGUUGUAUUAGACAUGACUCUAUAGGUUUUUUGACCGUUAGAUCUUCAUAGAAUCUAACUGUAUAUUCUUCUCUUUUUAAGAUUAAUGUGGUAAUUUUUGAUCCUCUCGGCGAACUCUCGGUGAAUGUGGUGGCUUCUUUUAACACUAUUGUAUUAGGAUAAAUAACAGAUGAUCAACAGUGUAGAAAACAGAAUAAUCAGAAUCAGGCUGCCGGUAGAACUUGGAUAUGCCAACUUGACUUGCUCGUACUUUAUUUUUCCUGUCACGCAUCAUCGUCUUUCACCUCGAUGCCCCGUCUUCAUGCACUCGCCCUUGGUCUCUCACGUGCCAGGUGCUCCUGAACUCUGCCUCAGGAGGCUUUCCUUUCACACUGGAUCAGUAACUCUUUGAAACUCAAAAAUACGGCACAAACCGCCAUAACAAUUACGAGAACUUGAACGAUCCAUCUUGUUUACUUAUAAGUUAUCGUGUCCUGCAUUACAGAAAAGAUUGCCCAUGUAUCGACUUUGAGUUCAUAGCACAGAGAACUGCACGAGGCUAUCUCAUCUGAAUUACAAAGUAAGACAGAACGGAACAAUUUUUGUUCUAUUUUGAGAAGGGUUUCAAAGGAGGCAGGAGUGAUGCCAAUUUACAAAGAUAAAGAUAGGAGGCACAGUACAGAGUUUCAAGCAGGGUGGUUACAUCGGAUGAACAUAAUAAAAAUUUAAAAUCAAUCUCACAAUUAGAUUUAACACAUCACAGAUGGGCUCACCUCUAACAUUGCCAACCAAAAAAUGAUUACCGCACAGGCAACAUUGUCAACCAAAGACAAGGGCAGGUGGCAAUGGUCCAAUGGCUGGUGCCACUGAUCAACAUUUCACAUCAACACAAAAAAUGGAAAGUGCAGGUGAACAGUUGCAAACAAAACCAAAACCGAUUCUUGAAAAAAAAACACAAGCGAAACAGCCAGUUAAUUUGCUUUAUUUAACAACUUGAGUGGCAAAAGAUGCCCAUAUGUAGCAGAAGCCUCAAAAUAAGUUUGCAAGGCACAGGUAGCGUAUAUGCAUGGAAAGAUGGAAGGAGUACAACUAAAAUUGAUCCAGCAAAUGUUAAAUCAUCCUUGGAGGACUAUUAGGACCCAUCAUGAAAAUUCCAACUGCUGUGGCAGUCAACUUGUAGGAUCUUGCAUUCAGUAUCUGUGGGAGAGCUUCUCCUGCUCCUUGUACCACAUUGCAUACCUGCAUAGAUACAUAAAAAAGAAUCAGAAAUCAAGGAUGUCAAUUAUCUGAACUCUCAAAACCGCUAAUCAAAUCUGCUAAUUAAAUCUGACGAGGAAGUUCAGUUGUUCGACAUGUGUUGUUUUCAUAUUACAAAUGGAAAUACAAUUGUUCAAACAGCAUCUUGUGAACUGUAGGAUACUUUCAUUCAGGCAAUCAAAUAGAACAGCACAAACACAGAUAUUAUUUCCAGUUUUCAGAUACUGAAUUUGAAGUGAAUUUUGCUGCCGUCUUCAGAAUUGGUGCGAAACUAUGCCACUUAUCAUCUGUGCAUUGCUAAGUCACAACAUGAGCUGAUUAUUCAAGGAGUUUUGGUGUUGAGUAAACAAACAAAUCUACACCAGCAUUGCCGUCAGAACUGGCAUGACAUUUAUGCUAAUAAUAAGAAUCAGUGUUAUAGCAUUGCACAGUUUGAGAUGAGUAUUGAGGGAGUUAUGUACAAAAAAAAUUGUACAUAAAAAAUGGCUAUAAUCCAAAGCACACAAAGAGGUUUCUCAAUUCUAUCAGAGCCGAAGCAUAGGGCACUUAUAACGUUGUACAAGAAUACUGAGAAUUACAAAAGCAUAUUAAGGCUAGUUCCUAAAUUUAACUAAUUGUGUUAACAGUUUGCCCUAGCAUUCAGAUUUAAAGCUACCACAAGAUCAGAGAGACUGAAUUUGCAUGCCAAUUACUUAUUGGACUUGAAAAUCGUACAAUCUAACUAUAAUGCUUUAAUUUAAAUACUUGAAAGUUCAGCCCAGAAAAAAAUAUUAGAUUAAGAUGAUCAUUGUAUGGCUAACUUGUUUGACCUAUCAAGCUACAACAUAAAAACAACCCUAACCACUACCUGAAUGCCCUACACAAUUAGCUUGGCAACGCUAACCAAUUAAAUCUGGUGCCAUUUCAUCGGACAUUGCUGGUGGAAGUAAUCAGAAAUGGAAGCAUGCAUCAACUAAGUAGCACAGUACAAGGGGCGUUUCACCCAGCAUCAAGACCUACAUAAGUAUGACAUGGCCGAAAACAAUGGUAAAUAAAUGACCACAUAAGUAUGUCAUGAGCGUUCCGAUUUCCAUAAUCAAACCCAGCAGACCAACGAAAUCAAACUCAUCAUCCACAACGAAACCACCCAACUAACAUUAAUUCCGCGUCCCAGCCCUACCAAAAUCAGGGCACAACAGAGGAGUGAAGCACCGCAAACAAUCAUGUGCAUUCUUCCCACGUAAAACGAGACUAAGACACGAGCAAUCCACCGAACCCUAACCGGAUCUCCCCGUCAGCCCGACCAGCACUCGAUCCGACCAGAUCUGCGUGUAGGGGAGGAAAGGCAGGCGAGCGAGCGAGCGCCGAGGGGGGAGCGGGGCCUUACUGGUAGGUGCCGACGACGGGGCCGAGGAGGAGCCCGGCGGAGAUCCAGUUCUCGGUGACCUUGUGGUGGAUCUUGGUGGUGAUGUCCUUCCACAGCCCCGGCAUCACCUUCUGCUGGAACGGCGAGAGCGAGUACACCACCGCCUUCAUCCGCACCGGAACCUUCCCCAUCCUUCCGCCGCGUCGCCGGCCGGCCGGACUUCCUCCUCGGGACGGGAUGCUUCGAUCGCCUCGCGCACGCCGAUGUGUGUGGGUGACUUCGGGAUC